GUGCUUGCUUCAGCCACACAUAAACUAAAAUUGAAACGAUACAGAGAAGAUUAGCAUAGCCCCUGCACAAGGAUGGCACACAAAUUCGUGAAGCGUUGCAUAUUUUU
Molecule: small nuclear RNA, 107 nt
Organism: Myotis lucifugus (little brown bat)
Lineage: Eukaryota; Metazoa; Chordata; Mammalia; Chiroptera; Vespertilionidae
Source: Ensembl